GAAAUGCGAUAAGUAGUGUGAAUUGCAGAAUUCAGUGAAUCAUCGAAUCUUUGAACGCACAUUGCGCCCUUUGGUAUUCCUUAGGGCAUGCCUGUUCGAGCGUCAUCUAAACCUUCAAGCACAGCUUGGUGUUGGGUGCCUGUCCCGCCUCCGCGCGUGGACUCACCUCAAAUCCAUUGGCGGCCCUCACGUCGGCUACGAGCGCAGCAGAAACGCGAACUCGUGGCCUGGCGGGAGCGGCAAUCCAUAGCUAUUUCUAACCAGUUUGACCUCGGAUCAGGUAGGGAUACCCGCUGAACUUAA
Molecule: unclassified non-coding RNA, 303 nt
Filed under: uncultured fungus
Lineage: Eukaryota; Fungi
Description: sequence contains ITS1
Rfam family: 5.8S ribosomal RNA (bases 1-105)
Source: RNAcentral